CUAAAUUCUAAAGGCUAAAGCUUCAGGAUGAGAUUUAGAGUUUAGUAAUAUGUUGUUAAACUAUUAGCUUCCUAAUGUGAUAUAUAAACUAAUUAAAAUCUUGGUUGUACUAUAAUCUGGAAUAUAAUGACGGACUAACCUUUCCAUUAUUCUAAAAAUAGGAAUGGAUAAAAGUUGGUUGAAUAUUAGAAAUAGAGGUGACCAAAGGUACAGAGAUGAAGUAGAUGGCUUUCUUAGUUGGGCAUUCAGUCAACCAAGGGGAAGCACUAUGAUUCGAUGUCCUUGUAAAGGGUGUAUAAAUAUUGCAUUCAAGCUAAUGCCCGAUGUAAGAAGAGACUUAUUGAAAAAGGGUUUCUGGGAUUCUUACAAAGUGUGGGACUUGCAUGGAGAAGUGUUAGUUAGAGUUGAAAAUUCUAACGUAACACUCAAUAAUGAAGUAGAAGAUGAUAACAUUGAAGAGGAUAAUAUUUCAGAAAUGAUUCACGACGUGCGGGGACAUACGUAUGUAGAGGAUAAUAAUAAUAAUACUUCUAUGGACAAUGAAGAGCCAAAUUUACAUGCAGCAAAGUUCUACAAAUUGUUAGAAGAUGCUCAGACAGAACUUUAUCCUGGUUGUAGUAAAGUCUCAAAGUUAUCUUUUGUUGUCAAACUACUUCACUUGAAGUGCCUUAAUCAUUGGAGCAACAAAUCAAUGGAUGAACUGUUGAGUUUCUUUAAAGAAGUUCUUCCGGAGGGUUCAUUUGUGCCCAGUUCUUUCUAUGAAGCGAAGAAAGUUCUUCGUGACCUAGGCUUGGGUUACACCAAAAUAGAUGCAUGUGAGAAUGAUUGUAUUUUAUAUUGGCGCGAUUAUGACAAUGCCCAAUUAUGUCCUAAGUGCGGUAAGUCUAGAUGGAAGUCAGAAGAACACAAAGGCAAGAAAGUAGCUUGUAAAGUAUUGCGACACUUUCCAAUCAAACCAAGGCUUCAGAUAUUGUACAUGGCAAGAGAGACGGCAAAAAAGAUGAGGUGGCACAAGGAUAAAAACGUUGAUGAUGGUGUUUUGCGACAUCCGUCUGACUCCAUAGCAUGGAAAUCCUUUGAUGAGCGACAUCCCACCUUUUCAGCUGAAUUAAGAAAUGUUCUAUUAGGUUUAGCAAGUGACGGGUUCCAACCUUUUGGAAACAUGAGUGCCAAUCAUAGUAUUUGGCCAGUCAUACUAGCAACAUAUAAUCUGCCGCCAUGGUAUUGCAUGAAGGAUCCGUAUUUUAUGAUGACACUUCUUAUUCCAGGCCCUAAGUGUCCAGGAAAUGAUAUAGAUGUAUACUUGCAACCAAUUAUUAAAGAGUUGAAAGAAUUAUGGGAUGGAAUCGAAACUUAUGAUUCCUACUCAAAAUCUAAUUUUAUGAUGCGUGCAGCUGUAAUGUGGACGAUUAAUGACUUUCCUGCAUAUGGAAACCUUUUAGGAUGGUCAACAAAAGGCGAGCUUGCAUGUCCUUGUUGUCAUAAAUACACACAAUCGGUUUCUUUACGUAUUAAGUUGUGUUAUAUGAGUCAUCGUUGCUUCCUUCCAAUAAAGCAUCCAUGGCGCCGAAAUAGGAGAAAAUUUGAUGGAAAGGUAGAAAAGAGGGUUGCACCUAUUCCUUUAACAGGUGAUGAAGCACUUAUACAAUUACAGAGCUUGGGCAAUGUGAGUUUUGGGAAGGGAAAAAAGUGAAAACGUGACUUCCCCAAAAAGUGCUUACAAUUGGAGGAAGAAAAGUAUAUUUUUUCAAUUGCCUUAUUGGAGUACUCUUUUGUUACGACAUAACUUUGAUGUGAUGCACAUAGAGAGAAAUGUAUCUGACAAUAUAAUAUCAACUUUGAUGAAUAUGGUUGGAAAGACAAAGGACACAUUAAAAAGUAGAUAUGACUUGGUGGACCUUGGUAUUAGGCAAGAAUUGCAUCCAAUUGAGGAUGGGGAUAAUGUAUUGUUACCGGCAGCAUGUUACGCAUUGUCCUCGGAGGAGAAGUUGAAGUUAUGCCAUUUUUUGGCUAAUAUGAAGGUUCAUGAUGCUUUUUCAUCAAAUAUUUCAAGGUGUGUAAAUAUAUUAGAGAAAAAGAUCUAUGGAUUAAAAAGUCAUGAUCACCAUGUAUUAUUGCAAGACAUUCUCCCAGUUGCAAUACGUGGUUUAUUGCCUAAAGAAGUGUGUGAACCAAUUAUAGAGCUUGGAAUUUUUUUCAUGAAUCUAUGUUCUAAGACCUUGACAAUCGAAGGUCUUGACAUCUUGGAGGCUGAAUGUGCAUGCACAUUAUUCAAACUUGAAAUUAUUUUCCCGCCGACAUUCUUUGAUGUCAUGGUUCAUCUGCCAAUUCACUUGGCAAGAGAGGCAAAGCUUGGUGGACCAGCUCAAUUUCGAUGGAUGUACCCUUUUGAGAGGUAUUUGCGAACACAAAAGUCAUAUGUUUGCAAUAAUGCUCAUCCAGAAGGUUCAAUUGCCGAAGGUUAUUUGGCAAAGGAAAGUCUCACAUUUUGCUCCAGAUACUUAAAGAAUAUGUCAACCAAGUUCAACAAACCGGCCAGGAAUGACGAUGGAUCUAUAUCAAAUGGGGAGAUGUCUAUCUUCAAAAAAAGUGGGAAAAAAAGGUGGUUCAAAAGGCAUCAUGCUCUCUCACGAUGAGUUCAAACAAGCAUGUAUGUAUGUGCUUCAAAAUUGUGAAGAGGUUCUGCCAUUCAUGGAGGAAUACCAAGGAGAGAUUGAAAGACAAGGUUCAAUAAGUGAUGGGUUGCAUAACAGUGGGUUUGUUGAUUGGUUUCGUGCACGUGUCUUUGUACUAGCUGCACAAGGGCGCGCAAACGAGGAGCUCAUAAACUUAGUUGUUGGUCGUGCACCAAUGGUGAAUCGAUAUUCCAGAUUUGUGGUGAAUGGAUUCAGAUUCCAUACAAGAGAUCUUGAGAUGAGAAGAAAAACACAAAAUAGUGGAGUCCUUGUGAGAGGAGAUGAUUCAGACUCUAAUAAGGAGUAUUACAGUGUAUUAGAGUACAUUUACGAGUUGUCCUAUAUAGGAAAUAGGAAAGUUUACUUAUUCAAGUGUCACUGGUGGGACGUGGCUUGCUUGGGAAGGGGAUAUAAGAUUGAUAAAUAUGGCUUCACAAGUGUGAAUACUCAUUGUGCCUUGAACACAAAUGAGCCAUUUGUGUUGGCAUCUCAGUCUGAACAAGUCUUUUACUUGGACGACAUGGUUGAUAAAGAUUGGCUUGUAGUUGUAAAGACAAAUCCUCGCAACCUUUUCAAUAUGCCCGAAAAUGAUGAUUGUGUAGAAGUUGACGAGGAAGCAUUGCUGAAUGAAGAAGCUUAUCAAUAAGAGGAAGUUGAAUUGAACAUUUUACGUACCAAUGACCAUGAAAAUGAUAUUGGUUUGUCUUUACAUAGGAAUGAUGUUGAACCACAAAGUAUUAACAACAAUCAUGCAAGCAAACAAGAACAAACAAGUGUGCAUGAUGAAGAAGAGAAUUUUAUUAAUGACAAUCUUAUAGAUACAUCUGAGUAUGAAGAAGAAGAGGAUUUUAUUAAUGACAAUCGUAUAGAUAUAUCCGAGGGUGAAGAAAGCGAAGAAGAUUGGCUUGAUGAUAAUGAUGGAUAAGAUACUGAUGAUGCUCUUGAAGACUUAGAAGCAAGAUAAUAUAGAUGUCUACUUUUUGUUUUGAAAAGUUCUCUGUAUUUUGUUCCUUAUUGACAUGACAAUGAAAUUAAUUCAUUAUGCUUGUAACUUUAAUUUCAUAACUAGAUUAUAUAUUAAGCUUUUGUGAAAUGUUAUUGUUAGUUGCCAAGUUGUAAUCAUCACACAUGCCUCCUCAAUUGAGCUAUGCACCUAAUGUGCACAUAUCUGAAAAAUUUCAUUUUGCUGAGUAUUUUUUGUGAUUUCCAUUUUGAUCUGUGUCUAUUCUUGUGUGGCUAUCUAAACACCUCAGUAUAUCUUGAUUCUUGCCAUAAAAAACCUCUCCCAACAAAUCUAGGCAGUAGUGCACUAAGCAUCAUUCUUACUUAUUUUACUGAUGUUACAAAUCUAGGCAGCAGUGCACUUCUAUUCUUACUGAUGUUUUUCUACAUC
Non-coding RNA from Nicotiana tabacum (common tobacco), 4068 nucleotides. Lineage: Eukaryota; Viridiplantae; Streptophyta; Magnoliopsida; Solanales; Solanaceae. The record is from RefSeq and is a predicted model, not a curated record.